GUCCACACUGUAAACGAUGAUAACUAGGUGUCGGCCGAAUCUGGUCGGUGCCACAGCGAAAGCGUUAAGUUAUCCACCUGGGGAGUACGCCGGCAACGGUGAAACUCAAAGGAAUUGACGGGGUCCGCACAAGCGGUGGAGCAUGUGGUUUAAUUCGAUGCAACGCGAAGAACCUUACCUACCCUUGACAUACAACAGAGAUUUUCAGAGAUGAGAUUGUGCCUUCGGGAAUGUUGAUACAGGUGCUGCAUGGCUGUCGU
This 260-nucleotide ribosomal RNA is filed under the name uncultured bacterium. RNAcentral's name for it is "partial 16S ribosomal RNA". It matches the Rfam family "Bacterial small subunit ribosomal RNA", at positions 793 to 1055 of the family's 1533-position model. The record is from RNAcentral.